GUCCCUGUGGCUCAGUUGGUAGAGCAUGGUGUUUGCAACGCCAGCAUGGUGUGUGCAACGCCAGGGUUGUGGGUUCGAUUCCCACGGGGGGCC
This is a non-coding RNA of Salmo salar (Atlantic salmon), 93 nucleotides long. The record is from Rfam. NCBI's taxonomy places the organism in Eukaryota, Metazoa, Chordata, Actinopteri, Salmoniformes, Salmonidae.